This 669-nucleotide ribosomal RNA is filed under the name Triticum aestivum (bread wheat). RNAcentral's name for it is "partial small subunit ribosomal RNA". Lineage: Eukaryota; Viridiplantae; Streptophyta; Magnoliopsida; Poales; Poaceae. The record is from RNAcentral.
AUGAAUCAGAUUGGAUGGAAGAGCAGAGAUAGGCAGGCGGCGAAGGCAUGUCCGCCGAUCGUUAGGGGGGGCCUGGCCCCUGCUCGCCCCCCCUUGGCUCCGCCACUGGCGUUCUCCCGCGUCCGGAUCAACCCCGCCUGCGUCGCCAAGCCCACCGACGCCGCCAAGAAGCCGAAGCGGCCUGCAGGAUCGCUCGACCACGGGGAACCUCCGGCGAAGAGCGUGCGUUGUGCUUCCGGCGAGGUCGCGUCCGCUGCCGCUGCCGCCGCCAGGAACAAGAAGCGCCCGGGUCCCAGUCCAGUCAGCGGCGUCGAAGCCCUCCGCGUGACCAAGAACCAGACCAGCGCCUCGCCGACUCAGCCUCCCGAGCUCACGGCGCCACCCAAGCCACCAGCUUCCAGCGUACGCGAGAAUGCUCGCCUUGCCGAGAACCAGACCAGCGCCUCGUCGCUGAGGCCCCUGGCCUCCUGCAGCAUGCGCGAGCUCCUCGAGAAGGCCCGUCUCGCCAAGGCUCGUAUUGCCGCUGAGGAUGCCGAGGCCGAGGCCGAGGCCAUCCACAGGCGCGAGAUCGAGCGGCGGAGGGCUGAGGCCCGCCGGGAGCGGGAGCAGAUGGUUCCGACGGUGGAGUUCAACGACCCUUUCAUUGAUUUCCGGGACGUGUUCAAGUGA